Molecule: long non-coding RNA, 367 nt
Filed under: Ananas comosus (pineapple)
Lineage: Eukaryota; Viridiplantae; Streptophyta; Magnoliopsida; Poales; Bromeliaceae
Description: long non-coding RNA (ACOM_LNC025110)
Source: RNAcentral
CCUUAUACCCCAACCACAUAGAGUGUUAGAAAGAAAGCUGCCAUAAAAAAUAUAAAAACACUAAACAGAAGAUAUAAACGAAAAGCAAUUCAUUAAACAAAAAAAAAAAGGAAUUACGACAGAAGAAUUACAUCUGAUUUCUCUUUUUCAACGCUCAGUCUAAACUCGUUGUCUGAAUCUCGUAUCCUUCGUUCGUUUCAUAUAAGUUUAGAAAAAUACCGAUCAUCCCCAGUGCAAAUGGCAAAGAAAUUAGUGGUUAGUACAUGCGGUCUCAAGUUCGAAUCCUAAUUGAUUUAUAUUUUUAAGUAAAUUUAUUUUUUAAAAAAUAAACGAAAUAUAUAGCAUAUUAAUUUUCUCUCAAAAAAAA